CCUACGGGAGGCAGCAGUGAGGAAUAUUGGUCAAUGGGCUUACGCCUGAACCAGCCAAGUCGCGUGAGGGAAGACUGCCCUAUGGGUUGUAAACCUCUUUUGUCAGGGAGCAACGCCGGCUACGUGUAGCCGGUCUGAGAGUACCUGCAGAAAAAGCAUCGGCUAACUCCGUGACAGCAGCCGCGGUAAUACGGAGGAUGCGAGCGUUAUCCGGUUUUAUGGGGUUUAAGGGGUGCAUAGGCGGAAUGCCAAGUCAGCGGUAAAAUCGCGGGGCCAAACCUGGAUCCGCCGUUGAAACUGGCGGUCUUGAGUGGGCGAGAGGUAUGCGGAAUGCGUGGUGUAGCGGUGAAAUGCAUAGAUAUCACGAAGAACUCCGAUUGCGAAGGCAGCAUACCGGAGCGCAACUGACGCUGAGGCACGAAAGCGUGGGUAUCGAACAGGAUUAGAUACCCCAGUAGUC
This 460-nucleotide ribosomal RNA is filed under the name uncultured bacterium. RNAcentral's name for it is "partial 16S ribosomal RNA". It matches the Rfam family "Bacterial small subunit ribosomal RNA", at positions 338 to 795 of the family's 1533-position model. The record is from RNAcentral.